This 253-nucleotide ribosomal RNA is filed under the name uncultured bacterium. RNAcentral describes it as "partial 16S ribosomal RNA". It matches the Rfam family "Bacterial small subunit ribosomal RNA", at positions 524 to 776 of the family's 1533-position model. The record is from RNAcentral.
UACGUAGGGCGCAAGCGUUGUCCGGAAUUAUUGGGCGUAAAGAGCUCGUAGGCGGUUUGUCGCGUCUGCUGUGAAAACCUAAGGCUCAACCUUGGGCUUGCAGUGGGUACGGGCAGACUAGAGUGCGGUAGGGGUGACUCGAAUUCCUGGUGUAGCGGUGGAAUGCGCAGAUAUCAGGAGGAACACCGAUGGCGAAGGCAGGUCACUGGGCCGCAACUGACGCUGAGGAGCGAAAGCAUGGGGAGCGAGCAGG